Long non-coding RNA from Meriones unguiculatus (Mongolian gerbil), 2807 nucleotides. RefSeq lists it as uncharacterized. The record is from RefSeq and is a predicted model, not a curated record. The transcript is spliced from 4 exons. NCBI's taxonomy places the organism in Eukaryota, Metazoa, Chordata, Mammalia, Rodentia, Muridae.
AGCAGUGGUUGAUAUCAGAUGUCUUCUUUUAUUGCUCUAUUUCAUUUCUUAAAGACAGACAGUGUCCCUUACUGAACCUAUAGCUCACUGAUUGGCUAGACUGGGUACCCAGCAAGCUCCAGCGACCCUCCUCUCUGCCUCUCCAGCAUCUGCACUAGCUUUGUAUGUUGGUUCUGUGGAUCCAAACUCAGGUUGUCAUACUGUUGACCAGUUGCUGAAGUGUGUAAAAAACAAACAACGGACAAACAAACAAGUCCUCUCCCUCUCCCCUGUGGCUGCAUAGGAUACUUCUUCAGCCUUCUAGAAAAAUCUAGACUUCAUACUGCUUUUAAUUAUUUUAUUGUUUUGGACCUAAGUAAACAAACUCAUCAAGAUGGUUUUAUGUGCUUUUAUGCAAAGGAGACAAUUAAGGAUUAUAGGUCUUUGAGGUGCCAGAUCCUCUCUUUAUGAUGCAGGUCAUCAUAUUUUAUUUUUAGCAUGGGUGGCAUGGCGGAUAUCUUGCUUGGAGCAGGAGAAAGAUGUCUUCUUUUGGGGCAUGAACAGAGAAUGGCAUUGUUGCAUCAGCCCAAGGUUAGAGGUUCCUAAGCCCUAGAUUCAGAAGGAAUCAAAACAGCAAGGUGCACAGUUCUCACCUGUUAUCAAAUGGUUUUCCAGUUAGGAUCUCCCUGGCUUAGUACUGAGUCAAACCAAAACCCUGGAUGGAAAGGACAUGUCCAGUGUCUAAUUUAGGGACUAAGAACUUACUUCUGCCCAGCACUAUGCAUCAUUUACCAAGCCUGCUCACCAUCAUUAGCCUGUUGAACCCUUCUAUUAUCUGCCAGGCAGGGCCAAUGCUGUUAAAUCACUUUUACUCAAGGUCACACACAGACUGGGGUGGAGGCUGUUCAUGGUUUCUGAGCACCAGUUUUCUAUGCUUUCUACACUUCCAUCUUGCAGGCUGAGAUAAUGCCAAGCGGGAUGCUGACAGGUGCAACUCUGCAGAUCUUGCUGAGGAAUUAAUGACAGAAGAGGUUCUUCUGAGAGUUCUGCUUUCCGCCUGCUUUGUGGGAGCCGCUGCUCUUCUUCAGGAAGUACGUGGCCGAGCCGUGAGUUCAGCACAGCAGGUGUCUUUGAUCUGAAACAAAACUGCCAUGAAGACAGAGGACAAGUGGGUGAUAGCCAGACAGCUGCCAGGAAGAUUCAUCGGCUGAAACAUUCCAGACGAGUGCCAGGAUUAUAGGCUUGCACCGCCACGCCCAGCGCUGCAUCAAAAACAGAGCUUUGAACACUCAAGGCAAGUACUUCAUCAACUGCGUUACAUGAGCAGCCUCCAAAGUGGUCGUCUUGUGAGUGAAUCAAUACGCACAAAAACGAAUGUUGGCUCUUCAGCUCCUGCUCUGGGAUACAAGAGGUGAAAAGGAAAUCCGAGGAUCCCACCACAACAUCGUUCUUUGAACCUCUAAUCUCCAGAUGGUUGGCUUCCUCCCCUUUUCAGCAUAUUAGAUAUGUGUCUUGUAGAAUCCCAGGGUUUCUCCAGAACUUGAUAAUAACAUUCUCUGCUGAAGACACGAGACACUUUGCUCACAGGUCAUAGAGAAAUCAUGCUGGUCCUGACCAGAAGCUCCACCCCUGUCGGCUCAUUUGCAUAUCUACUGCCACCAUUUUGUUAAAUGGGUUUGGUAUCAAAUCAUCCUCUAAAUUCAUAUCUGUAUACCCAUCGACAAGCGAUGCUAUCAGACUUCAUCAGAGAAGUUUCUUUGUACAGUGAAUAGUGGCAACACAGAGACUCUUGACUAGUCAAAGUGCAGAGAAAACAUGUUAGAGCGAUGUUCAGCCACCAGCGAGAUGCUACAGCACACCCUUGCCCCUGAGACUGUUGUGAAAGGGGGCAGGGGGCAGAAAGAUUGUAAGAGACAGCGGCCCCGGAGCGAACAGUGUCUUCUGAAUGUGACAGGACCACUGCGCUUGUGAACUCGGAGCAGCUGUGGGUGCCACGCAAGAUGAAGCCAGCCAACAUUUCAUCACGAAGUGAGGAGGGACUCACAGGCCCCCACGCCUAGCUGAGGGGCUAAGGACAGUCGAUGGGUUCUUCAGGAGGGAAGGUCGGUUUUUUUAAGGGUGUGAUCCUUGGUAGGUAGGCAGGCUUUGCUCCAGCAGGUGGUCACAUACACGUGGAUAUGCAGACAACACAAACUGGAUUACAUGGGUUAAAAAAAAAAAUAGAGAACACCAGGGUGGGAAGGGUCUGUGUGGAGUUAAGGAGGAUCAAGACACACAUGUGAAAAUUUCCAAGAAUUAAUGAAAUAUAUUAACAGAAUUCUGGGGGCUUCUGUUAGGAGGAAGAAUAAAGACAUAUACAUGAAUUUAAUCUUCCUGGAAGUUUCUUUCUCUUCUUCCCUCUCCUUAUUGAAGCACAGCCAUUCUCUAAAGCCUUGAAGCUCAUGAGGGACACCAGGUUCAGGUUCUUGAUAUGCAAACCUGGUCUUGAACUUGACCUAAUCUUGCUACUUUUUUUUUGUCUGCAUGCUAAAAUUAUAGAUGUGAAUGAUGGCAGCUGGCUCCUACUUUUUUCUUUUUAAAUGUAUGAGAAUAAAUAUUUUUAUAACCUAGUUAUACCUUAUGAUACAUUAAGUAACCCAACCACUAAAAUUAUGAAUAGAGAAGAUGUUUUCUUUUAAGUUAGGAUUAAAAUGUGUGGGUACCAUAAGUGAAAAAGAUUAUAUGACUGUGGAAAUUGUUAAGUGGAAGAACAAUUAUAAGAAUGAAAACUCCUAAAUAUUCCAUGACCAUUCAUUGGAUGGAAUUGUAUGUUUUUCUUUAAUAUGCAA